UACAGAGGGGGCAAGCGUUGUUCGGAAUUACUGGGCGUAAAGGGCUCGUAGGCGGCCAACUAAGUCAGACGUGAAAUCCCAAGGCUUAACCUUGGAACUGCGUCGGAUACUGGAUGGCUUGAAUUCGGGAGAGGGAUGCAGAAUUCCAGGUGUAGCGGUGAAAUGCGUAGAUAUCUGGAGGAACACCGGUGGCGAAGGCGGCAUUCUGGACCAAUACUGACGCUGAGGAGCGAAAGCCAGGGGAGCAAACGGG
This 253-nucleotide ribosomal RNA is filed under the name uncultured bacterium. RNAcentral's name for it is "partial 16S ribosomal RNA". It matches the Rfam family "Bacterial small subunit ribosomal RNA", at positions 524 to 776 of the family's 1533-position model. The record is from RNAcentral.